This 843-nucleotide ribosomal RNA is filed under the name Triticum aestivum (bread wheat). RNAcentral's name for it is "partial small subunit ribosomal RNA". Lineage: Eukaryota; Viridiplantae; Streptophyta; Magnoliopsida; Poales; Poaceae. The record is from RNAcentral.
AUGUUCUACACCAACUAUGACUUGGACUAUGGCGGUGUGUCGAUCAUGGAGUAUGACUUGUCAAGGCACGCCUUGAAUGUGUUUACUUUUAGGCCACCAGACGGCUGCAUAUAUAACCUUGUGCUGGCGGAGGACGACGGUGGACUGGGCAUAAUCCAAGGCUUGGAUCCGCAGCUCAAAUUGUGGACAAGAGAGGCGAGUGAUGGCACUGAUGCGCAAUGGGUGCUGAAUCGGGUCAUCGACCUGGGCAAUUUGCUGCCAACUAGUGCUCGAUUGAAUGAAGAUUAUAGAGUGCAUGUAAUGGGCUUCGCUGAGGGGGCAAAUGCCAUUUUCGUCAACACAGUUGAUGGUGUCUUCACAAUUGAGCUACAGUCGGAUCAUGCGAGGAAGGUGUGCAGUGAUCAUGGCUUCGUUAAUUUGAUCCCGGUUGUCAGCUUCUACACUCCUGUACCCCGAGGCCAGCAGCAGAACCUGCUGGCGUCGAAGCCUAGCGAGGAGGGGGGAGAGGAGGAUAAAACAGUAGAUCGCGCACAACGGCUGUUGAGCAAGGGGUCCAAUGCUAUGAAGGAAGGGGACUUUGUCAACACAUUCGAAUGCGUCAGCAACAACCACAAUAUCAGGGUUCCUUGUUAUGGAGAAGGUGCUCUGGAGAGUGCUAACAUGCUCAACAAACAAGGAUAUGCCUUGCUACCGAAAGUUUCUUCGGGUGAUAUUCCCAAGAGUGCACCAAAUGAAGAAUCGGUGAAGGGUACAACGAGCAAAGAUGAUGGCGUGAGCUCGACGACCUCUCAUAGCAAUGUUGAGGGUGCUCCAGCUUCAGAGAAAGAGAGGAUAUUGAAAUAA